This 305-nucleotide ribosomal RNA is filed under the name uncultured bacterium. RNAcentral describes it as "bacterial SSU rRNA". It matches the Rfam family "Bacterial small subunit ribosomal RNA", at positions 334 to 638 of the family's 1533-position model. The record is from RNAcentral.
CACCCUACGGGAGGCAGCAGUGAGGAAUAUUGGUCAAUGGUCGGGAGACUGAACCAGCCAAGCCGCGUGAGGGAGGAAGGUACAGAGUAUCGUAAACCUCUUUUGUCAGGGGACAAAGACUGGGACGCGUCCCCGGAUGAGUGUACCUGAAGAAAAAGCAUCGGCUAACUCCGUGCCAGCAGCCGCGGUAAUACGGAGGAUGCGAGCGUUAUCCGGAUUUAUUGGGUUUAAAGGGUGCGUAGGCGGACAGUCAAGUCAGCGGUAAAAAUGCGGUGCUCAACGCCGUACAGCCGUUGAAACUGGCA